GGGCGAGUGGCGGAAUUGGUAGACGCGCCAGACUUAGGAUCUGGUGGUGCAAAUCGUGGAGGUUCAAGUCCUCUCUCGCCCA
RNAcentral lists this transfer RNA (82 nucleotides) under Cyanobacteria bacterium REEB67. RNAcentral's name for it is "tRNA-Leu". It matches the Rfam family "tRNA". From Rfam's summary of the family: Transfer RNA (tRNA) molecules are approximately 80 nucleotides in length. The record is from RNAcentral. Lineage: Bacteria; Bacillati; Cyanobacteriota.